Molecule: ribosomal RNA, 560 nt
Filed under: uncultured bacterium
Lineage: Bacteria
Description: bacterial SSU rRNA
Rfam family: Bacterial small subunit ribosomal RNA
Source: RNAcentral
ACGAUGCGUAGCCGACCUGAGAGGGUGGACGGCCACACUGGGACUGAGAUACGGCCCAGACUCCUACGGGAGGCAGCAGUGGGGAAUAUUGGGCAAUGGGCGCAAGCCUUACCCAGCAAUACCGCGUGAGUGAAGAAGGUCUUCGGAUUGUAAAGCUCUUUGAUCAGGGACGAACAGAUGACGGUACCUGAAGAACAAGCCCCGGCUAACUACGUGCCAGCAGCCGCGGUAAAACGUAGGGGGCGAGCGUUGUCCGGAAUGACUGGGCGUAAAGGGUGCGUAGGCGGCAUAAUAAGUUAGAAGUGAAAUACCCAGAGCUUAACUCGGGUGCUGCUUCUAAGACUGUUGAGCUUGAGUGCGGGAGAGGUUAAUGGAAUUCCUAGUGUAGCGGUGGAAUGCGUAGAUAUUAGGAGGAACACCAGAGGCGAAGGCGAUUAACUGGACCGUAACUGACGCUGAGGCACGAAAGUGUGGGUAGCAAACAGGAUUAGAUACCCUGGUAGUCCACACUGUAAACGAUGGAUACUAGAGGCAGGAGGUAUCGACUCCUUCUGCAUCGC